CCUACGGGAGGCAGCAGUGAGGAAUAUUGGUCAAUGGGGGCAACCCUGAACCAGCCAUGCCGCGUGCAGGAAGACGGCCCUAUGGGUUGUAAACUGCUUUUGUACGGGAAUAAUGGUUUCUACGUGUAGAGAUUUGAAGGUACCGUACGAAUAAGCAUCGGCUAACUCCGUGCCAGCAGCCGCGGUAAUACGGAGGAUGCAGGCGUUAUCCGGAUUUAUUAGGUUUAAAGGGUGCGCAGGCGGUCUUUUAAGUCAGUGGUGAAAGUUUGCAGCUUAACUGUAAAAUUGCCAUUGAAACUGGAAGACUUGAAUAUAGUAGAGGUAGGCGGAAUGUGUAGUGUAGCGGUGAAAUGCUUAGAUAUUACACAGAACACCAAUUGCGAAGGCAGCUUACUAUGCUAUCAUUGACGCUGAGGCACGAAAGCGUGGGGAGCGAACAGGAUUAGAUACCCCAGUAGUCC
This 461-nucleotide ribosomal RNA is filed under the name uncultured bacterium. RNAcentral's name for it is "bacterial SSU rRNA". It matches the Rfam family "Bacterial small subunit ribosomal RNA", at positions 338 to 796 of the family's 1533-position model. The record is from RNAcentral.